AUUGAACGCUGGCGGCAGGCCUAACACAUGCAAGUCGAGCGGAUGAAGGGAGCUUGCUCCUGGCUUCAGCGGCGGACGGGUGAGUAAUGCCUAGGAAUCUGCCUGGUAGUGGGGGAUAACGUCCGGAAACGGGCGCUAAUACCGCAUACGUCCUGAUGUAGAAAGUGGGGGAUCUUCGGACCUCACGCUAUCAGAUGAGCCUAGGUCGGAUUAGCUAGUUGGUUGGGUAACGGCCUACCAAGGCGACGAUCCGUAACUGGUCUGAGAGGAUGAUCAGUCACACUGGAACUGAGACACGGUCCAGACUCCUACGGGAGGCAGCAGUGGGGAAUAUUGGACAAUGGGCGAAAGCCUGAUCCAGCCAUGCCGCGUGUGUGAAGAAGGUCUUCGGAUUGUAAAGCACUUUAAGUUGGGAGGAAGGGCAGUAAGUUAAUACCUUGCUGUUUUGACGUUACCAACAGAAUAAGCACCGGCUAACUUCGUG
Molecule: ribosomal RNA, 484 nt
Filed under: uncultured bacterium
Lineage: Bacteria
Description: partial 16S ribosomal RNA
Rfam family: Bacterial small subunit ribosomal RNA
Source: RNAcentral